RNAcentral lists this transfer RNA (71 nucleotides) under Scolytinae sp. BMNH 1039996. Its description in RNAcentral is "tRNA-Met". Lineage: Eukaryota; Metazoa; Arthropoda; Insecta; Coleoptera; Curculionidae. The record is from RNAcentral.
AAACAGGUAAGCUAAUAAAGCUAAUGGGUUCAUACCUCAUUUAUAAAGGUUUUACAUUCCUUUCCUUUUUA